GGGGCUAUAGCUCAGCUGGGAGAGCGCUUGCAUGGCAUGCAAGAGGUCAGCGGUUCGAUCCCG
This 63-nucleotide transfer RNA is filed under the name Escherichia coli. RNAcentral describes it as "tRNA-Ala". It matches the Rfam family "tRNA", at positions 1 to 61 of the family's 71-position model. From Rfam's summary of the family: Transfer RNA (tRNA) molecules are approximately 80 nucleotides in length. Their secondary structure includes four short double-helical elements and three loops (D, anti-codon, and T loops). The record is from RNAcentral. Lineage: Bacteria; Pseudomonadati; Pseudomonadota; Gammaproteobacteria; Enterobacterales; Enterobacteriaceae.